Molecule: ribosomal RNA, 510 nt
Filed under: uncultured bacterium
Lineage: Bacteria
Description: partial 16S ribosomal RNA
Rfam family: Bacterial small subunit ribosomal RNA
Source: RNAcentral
GACGAACGCUGGCGGCGUGCCUAAUACAUGCAAGUCGAACGAAACUUUCUUACGCCGAAUGCUUGCAUUCACCGUAAGCAGUUGAGUGGCGGACGGGUGAGUAACACGUGGGUAACCUGCCUAAAAGAAGGGGAUAACACUUGGAAACAGGUGCUAAUACCGUAUAUCUCUAAGGAUCGCAUGAUCCUUAGAUGAAAGAUGGUUCUGCUAUCGCUUUUAGAUGGACCCGCGGCGUAUUAACUAGUUGGUGGGGUAACGGCCUACCAAGGUGAUGAUACGUAGCCGAACUGAGAGGUUGAUCGGCCACAUUGGGACUGAGACACGGCCCAAACUCCUACGGGAGGCAGCAGUAGGGAAUCUUCCACAAUGGACGCAAGUCUGAUGGAGCAACGCCGCGUGAGUGAAGAAGGUCUUCGGAUCGUAAAACUCUGUUGUUAGAGAAGAACACGAGUGAGAGUAACUGUUCAUUCGAUGACGGUAUCUAACCAGCAAGUCACGGCUAACUACGUG